AGCGAACGCUGGCGGCAGGCCUAACACAUGCAAGUCGAACGAACCUUUCGGGGUUAGUGGCGGACGGGUGAGUAACACGUGGGAACGUGCCUUUAGGUUCGGAAUAACUCAGGGAAACUCGUGCUAAUACCGAAUGUGCCCUUCGGGGGAAAGAUUUAUCGCCUUUAGAGCGGCCCGCGUCUGAUUAGCUAGUUGGUUGAGGUAAUGGCUCACCAAGGCGACGAUCAGUAGCUGGUCUGAGAGGAUGAUCAGCCACAUUGGGACUGAGACACGGCCCAAACUCCUACGGGAGGCAGCAGUGGGGAAUCUUGCGCAAUGGGCGAAAGCCUGACGCAGCCAUGCCGCGUGAAUGAUGAAGGUCUUAGGAUUGUAAAAUUCUUUCACCGGGGACGAUAAUGACGGUACCCGGAGAAGAAGCCCCGGCUAACUUCGUG
This 434-nucleotide ribosomal RNA is filed under the name uncultured bacterium. Its description in RNAcentral is "partial 16S ribosomal RNA". It matches the Rfam family "Bacterial small subunit ribosomal RNA", at positions 29 to 507 of the family's 1533-position model. The record is from RNAcentral.